This 497-nucleotide ribosomal RNA is filed under the name uncultured bacterium. RNAcentral's name for it is "partial 16S ribosomal RNA". It matches the Rfam family "Bacterial small subunit ribosomal RNA", at positions 28 to 507 of the family's 1533-position model. The record is from RNAcentral.
GAUGAACGCUGGCGGCGUGCCUAAUACAUGCAAGUCGAGCGAACAGAUGAGGAGCUUGCUCCUCUGACGUUAGCGGCGGACGGGUGAGUAACACGUGGAUAACCUACCUAUAAGACUGGGAUAACUUCGGGAAACCGGAGCUAAUACCGGAUAAUAUAUUUAACCGCAUGGUUCAAUAGUGAAAGACGGUUUUGCUGUCACUUAUAGAUGGAUCCGCGUCGCAUUAGCUAGUUGGUAAGGUAACGGCUUACCAAGGCAACGAUGCGUAGCCGACCUGAGAGGGUGAUCGGCCACACUGGAACUGAGACACGGUCCAGACUCCUACGGGAGGCAGCAGUAGGGAAUCUUCCGCAAUGGGCGAAAGACUGACGGAGCAACGCCGCGUGAGUGAUGAAGGUCUUCGGAUCGUAAAACUCUGUUAUUAGGGAAGAAAAAAUGUGUAAGUAACUAUGCACGUCUUGACGGUACCUAAUCAGAAAGCCACGGCUAACUACGUG